AAGAGUUGCAAGACUCCAAACCAUCGCGAACAUACCACAUCGUUGCCUCGGCGGGCGGCUCCAGGGCGGAGCCUCCGGCCCCCUUCGGGGGGUGUCCGCCGAAAGGCCCCAAACACUGCUGAAGCUAGGCUACUCCGAGUAAAUAGAUAUAGUUA
Molecule: unclassified non-coding RNA, 155 nt
Filed under: uncultured fungus
Lineage: Eukaryota; Fungi
Description: sequence contains ITS1, 5.8S rRNA gene
Source: RNAcentral